AUUGAACGCUGGCGGCAGGCCUAACACAUGCCAGUCGAGCGGAUGAAGGGAGCUUGUUCCUGGUUCCAGCGGCGGACGGGUGCGUAAUGCCUAGGAAUCUGCCUGGUAGUGGGGGAUAACGUCCGGAAACGGGCGCUAAUACCGCAUCCGUCCUGCGGGAGAAAGUGGGGGAUCUUCGGACCUCACGCUCUCAGAUGAGCCUAGGUCGGAUUAGCUAGUUGGUGGGGUAAAGGCCUACCAAGGCGACGAUCCGUAACUGGUCUGAGAGGAUGAUCAGUCACACUGGAACUGAGACACGGUCCAGACUCCUACGGGAGGCAGCAGUGGGGAAUAUUGGACAAUGGGCGAAAGCCUGAUCCAGCCAUGCCGCGUGUGUGAAGAAGGUCUUCGGAUUGUAAAGCACUUUAAGUUGGGAGGAAGGGCAGUAAGUUAAUACCUUGCUGUUUUGACGUUACCAGCAGAAGAAGCACCGGCUAACUUCGUG
Molecule: ribosomal RNA, 484 nt
Filed under: uncultured bacterium
Lineage: Bacteria
Description: partial 16S ribosomal RNA
Rfam family: Bacterial small subunit ribosomal RNA
Source: RNAcentral